UUCUUGGAUAAUUGUGAGGUUUCAUCUAAAACCAGAAGUGGAAACAAGAUGAAUAAACCACCACAGAAAAAAUGAAACUGCUACAUGUGAUUUGACAAAAAACAGUGGAUAUAUUUCAUAAUUCAUCAGACAGUGUACACACAGCCAGUAGAUUUCUGACCCAAGAUCAAUAUGUAGGACUCUCAGCUCUUUCUCCAGCACUAUGUCUGCCUCGUGCUGCCAGGUCCUGCCAUGAGGAUAAUGGAAAAAACCUCUGAAACUGUGUUACAUCUGAGAAGUGGUGAAAAAUGAGAUCUGAAGGAGGUGAAACAGCCAGGAUGCACUUCAGUUGGGUGAAAUGGAAGUAACUAGGACAGUUUUUUUCUGGAGGAUGGGC
Molecule: long non-coding RNA, 376 nt
Filed under: Cricetulus griseus (Chinese hamster)
Lineage: Eukaryota; Metazoa; Chordata; Mammalia; Rodentia; Cricetidae
Description: lncRNA (ENSCGRG00015037922.1)
Source: RNAcentral